GACGGGGGGGGCAAGUGUUCUUCGGAAUGACUGGGCGUAAAGGGCACGUAGGCGGUGAAUCGGGUUGAAAGUGAAAGUCGCCAAAAAGUGGCGGAAUGCUCUCGAAACCAAUUCACUUGAGUGAGACAGAGGAGAGUGGAAUUUCGUGUGUAGGGGUGAAAUGCGUAGAUAUCCGGAGGAAUACCAAAGGCGAAGGCAGUGUCCUGGAGGGUUAACUGACGCUGAGGCGCGAAAGCUAGGGGAGCGAACAGG
RNAcentral lists this ribosomal RNA (252 nucleotides) under uncultured bacterium. RNAcentral describes it as "partial 16S ribosomal RNA". It matches the Rfam family "Bacterial small subunit ribosomal RNA", at positions 524 to 776 of the family's 1533-position model. The record is from RNAcentral.